UACGUAGGGUGCGAGCGUUAAUCGGAAUUACUGGGCGUAAAGCGUGCGCAGGCGGUUUUGUAAGCCAGCUGUGAAAUCCCCGGGCUCAACCUGGGAACUGCAUUUGUGACUGCACAGCUGGAGUGCGGCAGAGGGGGAUGGAAUUCCGCGUGUAGCAGUGAAAUGCGUAGAGAUGUGGAGGAACACCGAUGGCGAAGGCAGCCCCCUGGGCUAACACUGACGCUCAUGCACGAAAGCGUGGGGAGCAAACAGG
Molecule: ribosomal RNA, 253 nt
Filed under: uncultured bacterium
Lineage: Bacteria
Description: partial 16S ribosomal RNA
Rfam family: Bacterial small subunit ribosomal RNA
Source: RNAcentral